GGCUGUGGCUCAGUGGCAGAGCGCUCGCCUAGCAUGUGUGAGGCCCCGGGUUUGAUCCUCAGUACCA
RNAcentral lists this transfer RNA (67 nucleotides) under Marmota monax (woodchuck). Its description in RNAcentral is "tRNA.Ala". The record is from RNAcentral. Lineage: Eukaryota; Metazoa; Chordata; Mammalia; Rodentia; Sciuridae.